RNAcentral lists this ribosomal RNA (949 nucleotides) under uncultured prokaryote. RNAcentral's name for it is "bacterial SSU rRNA". It matches the Rfam family "Bacterial small subunit ribosomal RNA", at positions 46 to 999 of the family's 1533-position model. The record is from RNAcentral.
GCGCGCACCUGCAGUCGAGCGGAUGAGAGGAGCUUGCUCCUUGAUUUAGCGGCGGACGGGUGAGUAAUGCCUAGGAAUCUGCCUGGUAGUGGGGGAUAACGUUCCGAAAGGAACGCUAAUACCGCAUACGUCCUACGGGAGAAAGCAGGGGACCUUCGGGCCUUGCGCUAUCAGAUGAGCCUAGGUCGGAUUAGCUAGUUGGUGAGGUAAUGGCUCACCAAGGCGACGAUCCGUAACUGGUCUGAGAGGAUGAUCAGUCACACUGGAACUGAGACACGGUCCAGACUCCUACGGGAGGCAGCAGUGGGGAAUAUUGGACAAUGGGCGAAAGCCUGAUCCAGCCAUGCCGCGUGUGUGAAGAAGGUCUUCGGAUUGUAAAGCACUUUAAGUUGGGAGGAAGGGCAUUAACCUAAUACGUUAGUGUUUUGACGUUACCGACAGAAUAAGCACCGGCUAACUUCGUGCCAGCAGCCGCGGUAAUACGAAGGGUGCAAGCGUUAAUCGGAAUUACUGGGCGUAAAGCGCGCGUAGGUGGUUCGUUAAGUUGGAUGUGAAAGCCCCGGGCUCAACCUGGGAACUGCAUCCAAAACUGGCGAGCUAGAGUACGGUAGAGGGUGGUGGAAUUUCCUGUGUAGCGGUGAAAUGCGUAGAUAUAGGAAGGAACACCAGUGGCGAAGGCGACCACCUGGACUGAUACUGACACUGAGGUGCGAAAGCGUGGGGAGCAAACAGGAUUAGAUACCCUGGUAGUCCACGCCGUAAACGAUGUCAACUAGCUGUUGGGUUCCUUGAGAACUUAGUGGCGCAGCUAACGCAUUAAGUUGACCGCCUGGGAGUACGGCCGCAAGGUUAAACUCAGAUGAAUUGUCAGGGCCGCACAAGCGGUGGAGCAUGUGGUUUAUUCGAAGCAACACGAAACCUUACCUGGACUUGACAUGCUGAGAACUUU